GUGUAAUUCAGUGGUAGAGUGUUUGCCUAGCAUGCUCAAGGCCCUGGGUUCAACCCCCAGUAUAUG
This 66-nucleotide transfer RNA is filed under the name Marmota monax (woodchuck). Its description in RNAcentral is "tRNA.Ala". The record is from RNAcentral. Lineage: Eukaryota; Metazoa; Chordata; Mammalia; Rodentia; Sciuridae.